GUAUGGUGUAUUUGCAUGUAAUAAGUAUGAAAUGGUUACUUAUUGUCCAGAUGGAGUAAAGUAUAGCGGUAAAACACAUGAAGAUGGAAGAAAAAAAACUGUAUUUUUACAUACAUUGUACACAAGUACAACAGCACAACACUACAUACAACAUGCUGUACAAAGGGCGGUAUAUACAUUUCCUGUACACUAUAACAGGCUUAGGCCCGUACCCCCACCUAGUGUGGGGGCAAGGGGACGGGCCGAAGGCCACCUUAUAAACUGGCGUAUCGUGCGGUAGAUUAGGGAUGCGGUACAAACGCUAAAAAAAACAUGGAAUGCUACGGUCGUCAAAAUACAAAGGGACUGAAAUUAUGCUUGCGCUGGCUCGGCCCACUGUAUAACUUUUAUCAUACUUGGGCCUCAUCUCGCAGCUUCUCCAAAUCUUGCUGGGCCGGACGCAGACUCCGUCGCUCGCGGGCGGUGCUGCCUGCAUCGCGACUCCGCUCCUGUUGCCCAGCUCACGCCCGCCGCCGCCGCCGUCGCGCGCCGCCGGCCUGUUCGCACCGCCACAAACCCAUGGCGAGGGAGGAGGAGAAAAGAUAGAGCAGAGCGAAUCUGCAACGCGCCCACCAUUUUUUGAUGCUGUAAGCUCUCACGGGUUCUCCCGGAUGCGCGCCCGCCGGACGUG
Molecule: long non-coding RNA, 670 nt
Filed under: Hordeum vulgare
Lineage: Eukaryota; Viridiplantae; Streptophyta; Magnoliopsida; Poales; Poaceae
Description: long non-coding RNA (HVUL_LNC021552)
Source: RNAcentral